GUUUGUUUGGCCGUUACCACCAGAUUAAGCACCGGCUAAUUUCGUGCCAGCAGCCGCGGUAAUACGAAAGGUGGCAAGCGUUAAUCCGAAUUACUGGGCGUAAAGCGCACGCAGGUGGUAGAGUUUGAUCCUGGCUCAGAUUGAACGCUGGCGGCAGGCCUAACACAUGCAAGUCGAGCGGAUGAAGGGAGCUUGCUCCUGGAUUCAGCGGCGGACGGGUGAGUAAUGUCUAGGAAUGGGCCUUGGAGUGGGGGAUAACGUCCGGAAACGGGCGCUAAUACCGCAUACGUCCUGAGGGAGAAAGUGGGGGAUCUUCGGACCUCACGCUAUGACAUGAGCCUAGGUCGGAUUAGCUAGUUGGUGGGGUAAAGGCCUACCAAGGCGACGAUCCGUAACUGGUCUGAGAGGAUGAUCAGUCACACUGGAACUGAGACACGGACCAGACUCCUACUGCUGGCAGCAGUGGGGAAUAUUGGACAAUGGGCGAAAGCCUGAUCCAGCCAUGCCGCGUGUGUGAAGAAGGUCUUCGGAUGUAAAGCACUUUAACUUGGGAGGAAGGGGGAUGAGUUAAUACCAAGAUGUUUUUACAUUGCCGUUAUCAAUAAGAACACGGCUAACUUCGUGCCCGCUGCCCGCGGUAAUACGAAGGGUGCAAGCGUUAAUCGGAAUUACUGGGCGUAAAGCGCGCGUAGGUGGUUCAGCAAGUUGGAUGUGAAAUCCCCGGGCUCAACCUGGGAACUGCAUCCAAAACUAAUGAGCUAGAGUACGGUAGAGGGUGGUGGAAUUUCCUGUGUAGCGGUGAAAUGCGUAGAUAUAGGAAGGAACACCAGUGGCGAAGGCGACCCCCUGGACUGAUCAUGACACUCAGGACACCAUGGGAGUGGGUUGCUCCAGAAGUAGCUAGUCUAACCGCAAGGAGACGGUACCACGGAGGAUCCA
Molecule: ribosomal RNA, 939 nt
Filed under: Pseudomonas aeruginosa
Lineage: Bacteria; Pseudomonadati; Pseudomonadota; Gammaproteobacteria; Pseudomonadales; Pseudomonadaceae
Description: bacterial SSU rRNA
Rfam family: Bacterial small subunit ribosomal RNA (bases 113-939)
Source: RNAcentral